GUCUUUUUGAAUUUAAUAUAAAGUCUGUUCUGCCCCUGAUUUAUUAAAUGGCCGCAGUAUAUUAACUGUGCAAAGGUAGCAUAAUCAUUAGUUUUUUAAUUGGAGACUUGUAUGAAUGAUUGGACGAGAUAUAAACUGUUUCAAAAAAAUAGAUAGAAUUUUAUUUUUUAGUUAAAAAGCUAAAAUUUUAUUAAAAGACGAGAAGACCCUAUAGAUCUUUAUAAUUUAAUAAUUAUUAGUUUUAAAGAUUUGUUUUACAAUAAUUAUUUUAUUAUUUUAUUGGGGUGAUAUUGAAAUUUAAAAAACUUUUAAUUAAAGUUAUUCCAUUAAUUUAUGUAUAAAUGAUCCAUUUUUAGUGAUUAAAAAUUUAAGUUACCUUAGGGAUAACAGCGUAAUUAUUUUGGAGAGUUCUUAUCGAUAAAAUAGUUUGCGACCUCGAUGUUGGAUUAAGAUUAAUUUUAGGCGCAGUAGUUUAAAAGAUUAAGUCUGUUCGACUUUUAAUUUCUU
RNAcentral lists this ribosomal RNA (507 nucleotides) under Medetera ambigua. Its description in RNAcentral is "partial 16S ribosomal RNA". The stretch from base 383 to 507 matches the Rfam family "Bacterial large subunit ribosomal RNA", at positions 2473 to 2597 of the family's 2925-position model. Lineage: Eukaryota; Metazoa; Arthropoda; Insecta; Diptera; Dolichopodidae. The record is from RNAcentral.